Molecule: long non-coding RNA, 191 nt
Organism: Carassius carassius (crucian carp)
Lineage: Eukaryota; Metazoa; Chordata; Actinopteri; Cypriniformes; Cyprinidae
Exons: 2
Source: RefSeq, a predicted model, not a curated record
UAUUUAAAAAGUCAUAAUGUUUAUUGUGUUUUGAACAGAAAUUAAGAUAUGGUAUAUAAAUUACUUCUUUUUUAUUGAUUAACAUGAUAGUACCACAAUGCAUUUAUGAGGUUAUGUAUUUAAUCUGCUUCAUGUAUUCUCUGGUUACUGUAUAUUCAAGAGAAAUGCAUAAACUCAAUUGUUGUAAUCAA